GGACCGGCUCAAGGUCGCACUAACAGCUCUUGCUAACUCCUGUUCCAGGCUGUUUAUCUGGGCCUCCAAGUACCCUGCUUGCGCCUGGAGGUCUCUCACCCCCAGGUCCUGCUCAAAGCUGUGCACUUGGGCCCCCAGGCAUGCGGCUUGCUCCGGAAGGUCCCUUACCUGUGGCACUGAGCAUGUACUUCCUGCAGUGCAGUUAGAAAUGCCCAUCCGACUCUGCUUGCAAAGACAUCUGCAAUGGCAGUUCACAUGGCUCAGAUAGCUCACUUCUGCAGAGAGCUGAAUUUAAGUGGGACAGGGUAGCAAGAAUAAUUACUUUGACAAUCAUUUUGCCACCUGAUGACUGUGCUGCCUGUCCUGAGCUGAGUGCAGAGAGGGAGACACCCUUACAAAUGGAGAUUUGCUGGAUAGAAAUGUGGCCAAAGAGUUCAAUAAAAGGGCACAGCUGCUUAAAGACUGUUACCGGAAAGGAAUCCUGAUCCAGACGCCAAGAGAGGGUUCUUGGACUCAUGCAAGAAAGACUUCAGAAUACGAGUUUUGAAUUUUUGAAUUGCUGUUAAAACUUUCAUCAUGAACACUGAAGUGAGUGAAAAGAGACUUUUGCAGUCAUUUUUUUGUUCUCAGGUCCCUGGACCAUGAAGGGCCACAUCCAAGGAGCUACCCCAGGAGGCCUCUCAUUUGCAUUUGUCCCCGCUAAUGCAGGACAGAGAUCAUGGAAGUUGGGCCCGACUGGAUGAGAUUUGGGGGUCUUUGGAAGUGGAGAAUGUGUUUGCCCUGGGGAAGAGAGGUGAUGUCUAGGAGACCUCUUCACUCAGGGCAAGCUCUAUGACCUGCUUUGACUCCAGAAUGUGGUAGAAGUGGCAUCACAUAAAUUGCAGAGCCUAGGCUUCAAGAGACCUUGCAACUUGCCUCUCACUGACUUGAAGUGCUCCCAUCAGAGCAUCUUGUAAGGAGCAGGUGGAGCAUGUGGACAAGCCAUCCCCACCAGCCCCUGAGACAUGUGAGAGAGGCCAGAACAGGCCAUCCGGACCCCACUGUGCUGGUGGAUGAGACAGCAGAAGGAAUAUCAACCUACCAACAGAAUCCUGAGAAAUGCUCACUCUUACUUCAAGCUGCUGCAUUUUGAUGUUAUGAAACCAUAAAUAACUUAUGAAGUCAUCUUUGCUGACUUAAAGUUUUCCAUAACUUUAUUAUAACAUAUCAAAAUUAUGAAAAAUGUGAAAAGUAGAAAACUGAUGAAUUUUGCUUCUUCAUAUGGUCUUUAAGAAUCUCAAAGGCACUGAAGUUUUUUAUCUUUUCUGUCUUAGAAUAAAAAACCUUGAAUGAAAA
Molecule: long non-coding RNA, 1335 nt
Filed under: Homo sapiens (human)
Lineage: Eukaryota; Metazoa; Chordata; Mammalia; Primates; Hominidae
Description: long intergenic non-protein coding RNA 2984
Source: RNAcentral